Alligator mississippiensis (American alligator) is the source of this 4717-nucleotide long non-coding RNA. RefSeq lists it as uncharacterized. The record is from RefSeq and is a predicted model, not a curated record. The transcript is spliced from 3 exons. Lineage: Eukaryota; Metazoa; Chordata; Crocodylia; Alligatoridae.
AUCUUUUGGAUGAAAGUUCUCAGUGUUCACUGUAAAGAACUUCAAUUACUUUACAUUUUUCAGGCUUCAGACCUGUUCUUUGCUAAGCAAAAAUGCCUAGAUGCGCUGAACCUAUGUUUUAAGUAGGUGUUGGAAGGUCAAAAGUGAGAUGUCUACCUGAGCCUAGUGGCCCAUUGGGUUACUGGGGUUAAAUUGCACUAGGUUCUGUAGCCAAGAGCACACAAAGGAGUGAUGCUGCCAUUCUCAUAUAUGGAUGUUUUUGACUCCCCAGCUUGAAUGGUCAGGUGCACAUUUCACAGCUGUGUCAGAUGGGGAAAGGCCAAGGAAACAAGUCUGGACCAAGCUUGAAUUCACAUGUCUGGAACUGUAGCAAGGUACAUCAACAAAUGAAGAUGGGGUGGAGAUCCUAGAACAGCACAUUUACCACCACCAACAUCUAAUACUUCAGCAAGUGCCAGUCCUGAUUGACUGCUGGGGACAGCAUAAGGAGUGGGGGUGUUACAGGAGCUGCCCAGGGAAGCCAGAAGAGGCAUUAGUUGGCAUGAAUACCUACGGUCCACAAUGGGAUUAUGCCAACCCCUGCACUGGAUCAGUGUAGAAGAGAAGAUGAAUCUUUGCUCAUCCUUUUUCUAUACUUAUGCAGGAUCAAGGACAAUGAAAUACAUGAUGUAGUGCAGAAUGAAUGAGAGAGUUUAUAGCCUUAACUUGGAAUGUUCUUUCUAUUGUAGGCGUAAUUCAAAACUAUGUCAUUAUAUGAAUAUAGGGGGUUUUAAAAUAUCGGUGUCUUAUUGUAAACAGAUGCUUGAGCCACUUUGAUGUUAAUGAGAAGGCUCUUUACACCCACAUACAACACAAUGAUUGGUUUUAGAAGUCUGGAGGCCUAAUGUCUCUUAAGCUACAGAAAUACUGUAACAAUCAUUAUUCUGUGUCAGGCCAAAAUUACCUUGUAGGAGCAUUGCAUAAUGUCUAGUAUAUUAAUCAUUAGAGAUAUUUUUGCAGCACUCAAUUACAUUAUGAAGGCUGGGUUAUGUUCUGAUCUUUCUAAUGGUCACAUGUAAAGUACUAAAGCCUCUAUUAUUUUAUAAUAAGUAAUGCAUAUCCGACAGAAUAAUGCAUUAUGCACAUCCUCUCCUAUAUGACUGUAAAGGUCAGCUAGGAACUUGAACAUUUUUGUCCUCCAGAACAUUUCACUUAAAGAGUUCAUUAGAAAGAAUGCCUUUAUCUUUUUUACUAUAUUCUAACAGCAUGCUCAAGUUUUGAUUAUUUUAUUUUCUACAAAGUAAAAUUGAAGGAACACAGACAAUAGGCACAUUCACUUUGGGUUAUCAAUUUAAAAGUGUUUCAGAAUCAAACUAAGCUAGUCCUUACUGUGUGGACAUCAUAAAGGAAGUGCCUGGACUACUGCAAAUGACUUCAGGUUCAGAUUCCAAAUGCUAAUGUAAUGACUGAGACACCAAUAAAUACUGCUCUAAUUUGAGGACUGUGGGAUCACUAAGAUUUCUGACAGGUGUUCAUUUAAAGCCGUGAUGGGAUCUGCAAUCCUAACAAUCAUGCCUCCUGUCAUGCCACACGUAGUGGCAGGAAGCGCAAUUUUGAAUUGGGGAUCAGAUCCCAAUCGUGCCCUACUUGCCAGUGCAGGGGGAGCCUAGGAUCAUGAACAUGAUCCUCCUCCACUGGUUAGUUGAAAGCCAGGUGUCUGAAAGUCAGCUGAUCGUCAGCCAGCUCUGAGACCACACUGGGGCUGGUUGGAUAUCCUAGUGCAGUUUUAAACCCUGCCACAUGCUCAUUUUAAGGUUCAAUGGAAACCAGCCACAGCCAUAUUACACAUUUUUUGUGUAAUAUUUUAAUGGCUCGUUUCCCUUUUUGGGGCAUCAUUAAUUGCUGAAUGUGUGGCUGGGUGACUAUUUAAGAUAUAAUUGAUGUCUGCCAGGAGCCUAAGAGGGUUCAAUUUAAUACUAAUUACUAUAUCCAGCAAAAAUGUACAUUUAGGUUUGUAGAAACCCUGUAAUAAGCUUUAGUCACUAUCAAAAGCUAAGUCUUAUUUCAAAAUCAUCAAACUCCUUACACAUAGCACUAAAAUAAUAUUGGUCAGAGCUCCAAUGUGAAAUGACAGGCCUGUUGAAAAUCUCUGGGUUAGGGUCAGAGCAACAAGGGUGAUGUUGUAGUGGGUGUCUGCUAUAGACCAGGAAGAUGAGGUGAACAAGGCUUUCUUCAAACAGGCAAUAGAAGUUUUCUGAUAACAGACCCUGAUUUUCAUGGGGGACUUCAAUCACCAUGACAUCUGCAAGCAAUCCAGGAAGUUUCUGGAGAGUGCCGGAGACAAUUUUCUGGUGCAAGUGUUGGAGAGGCCAAGUAGGGGCCAUGCUGUUCUUAACCUGCUGCUCACAAACACGGAAGAAUUGUUGGGGAAUGUAGAGGAGAAUGGCAACUUGGGCAGCAGCAACCAUGAGAUGGUUGAGUUCAGGAUCCUGAGGAAAGGAAGGAUGGAGACCAGCAGAGUAAGGACCCUGGACUUCAGAAAAGCAGACUUUGGCUCACUCAUUAAAAUGGUGAGCAGGGAGGCCUGUCUGAGGAGUCCAGGAGAGCUGGUUGUAUUUUAAAGAAACCUUACUGAGAACACAGGAAUGAACCAUCCCUAUGCACAGGCAGACUAGCAAGUAUGACCAGCGUGGCUUAGCAGGGAAUUCUUCAGUAAGGUAAAACACAAAUAAGGAACCUUAUAAGAAAUGGAAGCUUUGACAAACAACUAGGGAGGGGUAUAAUAAUAUUGCUUGGGCAUGCAGGGAUGAAAUCAGGAAGGCCAAAGUGUAACUGGAUUUGCAGCCAUCAAGGGAUGUGAAGUGUAAAAAGGAGGGUUUCUAGAAGUAUGUCAGCAAUAAGAAGAUCAGGGAAAGUGUGGGUCCCCUAUUAAAUGAGGGAGGCAACCUAGUGACAGAUGUUAUGGAAAAGACUAGAGUGCUCAAUGCCUUUUUCACCUCAGUUUGCAAAGACAGUCAGCUCCCAGACUACUGGGAGCACAGUAGGGGAGGGGGUGAGUAGCUAACAGUGGAAAAAGAACAGGUUCAGGAACAUUUAGAAAAGCUGGAUGUGUACAGGUCCAUGGGGCCACACACGGUGCACCUGAGGGUGCUGAGGGAGCUGGACACUCUGAUUGCAGAAACACUGGCCAUUAUCUUUAAAAACUCAUGGUGAUUGGAAAGAUUCCAGAUGAUUGGAAAAGAGCAAAUAAUAGUGCCCAUCUUUAAGACAGGGAAGAAGGAGGAUCUGGAGAAAUACAGACUGAUCAGCUUUACUGAAAAAUCAUAGACCAGGUUCUCAAGGAAUUAAUUCUUAAGCACUUGGAGGAAAAAAAGGUGAUUAGGAACAGUUGGCACAGAUUCACCAAAGGCAAGUCAUACCUGACCAACCUGAUUGUCUUCUAUGACAAGAUGACUGGCUCUUUAGAUACAGGUAGAGCAGUGGAUGUGAUAUACCUUCACUCUUGCAAGGCUUUUGAUAGGUUUCCCACAACAUUCUUGGAAGCAAGCUAAGGAAGUAUGGGCUGGAUGAAUGUAAGAUGGAUAGAAAACUGGCUGGAUCAUCAGGGUCAGAGAGUAGUAAUCAAUGCCUGGAUGUCUAGUGGGCAGCUGGUAUCAAGUGGAGUGGCCCAGGGGUCAGUUCUGGGGCCAUUUUUGUUCAAUAUCUUCUUCCAUGACCUGGAAGAUGGCACAGAGUGCACUCUCAGCAAGUUUGCAGAUAACACCAAGCUGGGGGGAGUGGGCUAGGAUUCAGAGAGCCCUUGACAAAUUGGAAGAUUGAACCAAAAGAAAUCUCAUGAGAUUCAGUAAGGACAAGUGCAAAGUCCUGCACUUAGGAUGAAACAAUCUCAUGCACUGGUACAGGCUGGGGCUGACUGGCUAGGAACCAGCUCUGCAGAAAAGGCCCUGGAGGUUACAGUGGACAAUAAGCUGAAUAUGAGCUAUCAGUGUGCCCUUGUUGUGAAGAAGGCUAACAGCAUACUGGGCUGCAUUAGUUGAAGCACUGCCAGCAGAUUGAGGGAAGUAAUAAUUCCCUGCUAUUUGGCAAUGUGAGGCCACAUCUGAAGUACUGUGUCCAGUUUUGGGCCCCCACUACAAAAAGGAUGUGGACAUCCCAGAAAACCCAGGCCUCUGCUUAUGAGGAGAGGCUGAGGGAACUGGGCUUAAUUAGUCUGGAGAAGAGAAGACUGAGGGGGGAUUUAAUAGCCUUUAACUACCUGAAGGGGGUUCCAAAGAGAAUGGAGCUACACUGUUCUCAGUGGCAGCAGAUGACAGAACAAGCGGCAGUGGUCUCAAGUUGCAGGAAGGGAAGUUUAGGUUGGAUAUUAGGAAAAACUUUCUCACUAGGAGGGUAGUAAAGCAGUGGAACAGGUUACCCAGAGAUGUUGUGGAGUCUCUAUCCUUGGAGGUUUUUAAGACCCAGCUAGAUAAAGCCUGGCUGGGAUAAUAUAGUUGGGGCUGGUCCUGCUUUUAGCAAGGGGUUGGACUAGAUGACUUCCUGAAGUCCCUUCCAACCCUAAUUUUCUAUGACUCUAUGAAAAUAUUUAUUUCAAAAGUAUUUAAUUAAAAUGUUAAUAUCUUGUCCUAUUUAAAUUAUAUCGAACCUUUUGCCUUUUUUCACAAAUACAAUCUUACAGUUUAAGUUCUGGCUUUGAAAUGUUUUUAUAAUCAAUGUAUUUAGAGACAUGUACAUAGGAAAA